CCCUUAGAUGUUCUGGGCCGCACACGCGCUACACUGAAGGAGGCAGCGUGUACUCCUGGAUCGAAAGAUUUGGGUAACCCGCGAAUCUCCUUCGUGCUAGGGAUUGAGGUUUGCAAUUAUCCUUCAUGAACGAGGAAUUCCCAGUAAGUGCAAGUCAUAAGCUUGCGCUGACUACGUCCCUGCCCUUUGUACACACCGCCCGUCGCUACUACCGAUUGAAUGAUUUAGUGAGGACUUCGGACUGGGACCGAUGCGGCUUUCGGGCUGCGUCGGUAUUCUGGAAAGAUGCCCAAACUGUAUCAUUUAGAGGAAGUAAAAGUCGUAACA
RNAcentral lists this ribosomal RNA (327 nucleotides) under uncultured eukaryote. Its description in RNAcentral is "partial 18S ribosomal RNA". It matches the Rfam family "Eukaryotic small subunit ribosomal RNA", at positions 1470 to 1796 of the family's 1831-position model. The record is from RNAcentral.